UACGGAGGGGGCUAGCGUUGUUCGGAUUUACUGGGCGUAAAGCGCACGUAGGCGGACUUUUAAGUCAGGGGUGAAAGGCCUGGGCUCAACCCGGGAACUGCCUUUGAUACUGGGAGUCUUGAAUCCGGGAGAGGUAAGCGGAAUUCCAAGUGUAGAGGUGAAAUUCGUAGAUAUUUGGAAGAACACCAGUGGCGAAGGCGGCUUACUGGACCGGUAUUGACGCUGAUGUGCGAAAGCGUGGGGAGCGAACAGG
This 253-nucleotide ribosomal RNA is filed under the name uncultured bacterium. RNAcentral describes it as "partial 16S ribosomal RNA". It matches the Rfam family "Bacterial small subunit ribosomal RNA", at positions 524 to 776 of the family's 1533-position model. The record is from RNAcentral.